RNAcentral lists this ribosomal RNA (468 nucleotides) under uncultured bacterium. RNAcentral describes it as "partial 16S ribosomal RNA". It matches the Rfam family "Bacterial small subunit ribosomal RNA", at positions 28 to 507 of the family's 1533-position model. The record is from RNAcentral.
GACGAACGCUGGCGGCGUGCUUAACACAUGCAAGUCGAACGGAAAGGCCCUGCUUUUGUGGGGUGCUCGAGUGGCGAACGGGUGAGUAACACGUGAGUAACCUGCACUUGACUUUGGGAUAACUUCAGGAAACUGGGGCUAAUACCGGAUAGGAGCUCCUGCUGCAUGGUGGGGGUUGGAAAGUUUCGGCGGUUGGGGAUGGACUCGCGGCUUAUCAGCUUGUUGGUGGGGUAGUGGCUUACCAAGGCUUUGACGGGUAGCCGGCCUGAGAGGGUGACCGGCCACAUUGGGACUGAGGUAGGGCCCAGACUGCAACGGGAGGCAGCAGUGGGGAAUAUUGCACAAUGGGCGGAAGCCUGAUGCAGCAACGCCGCGUGCGGGAUGACGGCCUUCGGGUUGUAAACCGCUUUCGCCUGUGACGAAGCGGGAGUGACGGUAAUGGGUAAAGAAGCACCGGCUAACUACGUG